Molecule: ribosomal RNA, 297 nt
Filed under: uncultured bacterium
Lineage: Bacteria
Description: partial 16S ribosomal RNA
Rfam family: Bacterial small subunit ribosomal RNA
Source: RNAcentral
GGCCGCGGGAAUUCGAUUCAGGCCUAACACAUGCAAGUAAAAAGAUUCUCUUCGGAGAAGAGCGGCGGACGGGUGAGUAACGCGUGGGUAACCUGCCCUGUACACAGGGAUAACAUACCGAAAGGUAUGCUAAUACGAGAUAAUAUGCUUUUAUCGCAUGGUAGAAGUAUCAAAGCUCCGGCGGUACAGGAUGGACCCGCGUCUGAUUAGCUAGUUGGUGAGGUAACGGCUCACCAAGGCGACGAUCAGUAGCCGACCUGAGAGGGGGAUCGGCCACAUUGGAAGUGGGACACGGUC